CAUGCAGUCGAGCGGUACAGAUCUAGCUUGCUAGAUGCUGACGAGCGGCGGACGGGUGCGUAACGCGUAGGAAUCUACCUAGUAGUGGGGGAUAGCCCGAAGAAAUUCGGAUUAAUACCGCAUACACCUUACGGGGAAAAGAGGGCCUCUACUUGUAAGCUCUUGCUAUUAGAUGAGCCUGCGUCGGAUUAGCUAGUUGGUGGGGUAAAGGCUCACCAAGGCGACGAUCCGUAGCUGGUCUGAGAGGAUGAUCAGCCACACUGGGACUGAGGCACGGCCCAGACUCCUACGGGAGGCAGCAGUGGGGAAUAUUGCACAAUGGGCGCAAGCCUGAUGCAGCCAUGCCGCGUGUGUGAAGAAGGCUCUAGGGUUGUAAAGCACUUUCAGUAGGGAGGAAAGGUUGUAAGUUAAUACCUUGCAUCUGUGACGUUACCUACAGAAGAAGCACCGGCUAACUCCGUGCCAGCAGCCGCGGUAAUACGGAGGGUGC
Molecule: ribosomal RNA, 490 nt
Filed under: uncultured bacterium
Lineage: Bacteria
Description: bacterial SSU rRNA
Rfam family: Bacterial small subunit ribosomal RNA
Source: RNAcentral